AAGAUAUCAAAUUCAUUUAAAUAUUUAGUAUAAGAACCAAAUAAACCGAUUGCCCGCGGUAAACCGCGGGUUAAAUCCUAGUAUGUAUAUAUAUAUAUAUAUAUACA
Molecule: small RNA, 107 nt
Filed under: Arabidopsis thaliana (thale cress)
Lineage: Eukaryota; Viridiplantae; Streptophyta; Magnoliopsida; Brassicales; Brassicaceae
Description: ATSL110440
Source: RNAcentral